RNAcentral lists this ribosomal RNA (484 nucleotides) under uncultured bacterium. Its description in RNAcentral is "partial 16S ribosomal RNA". It matches the Rfam family "Bacterial small subunit ribosomal RNA", at positions 29 to 507 of the family's 1533-position model. The record is from RNAcentral.
AUUGAACGCUGGCGGCAUGCUUUACACAUGCAAGUCGAACGGCAGCGCGGGCUUCGGCCUGGCGGCGAGUGGCGAACGGGUGAGUAAUGCAUCGGAACGUGCCCAGUAGUGGGGGAUAGCCCGGCGAAAGCCGGAUUAAUACCGCAUACGACCUGAGGGGGAAAGCGGGGGACCGAAAGGCCUCGCGCUAUUGGAGCGUCCGAUGUCGGAUUAGCUAGUUGGUGGGGUAAAGGCUUACCAAGGCGACGAUCCGUAGCUGGUCUGAGAGGACGACCAGCCACACUGGGACUGAGACACGGCCCAGACUCCUACGGGAGGCAGCAGUGGGGAAUUUUGGACAAUGGGGGAAACCCUGAUCCAGCCAUGCCGCGUGCGGGAAGAAGGCCUUCGGGUUGUAAACCGCUUUUGUUCGGGAAGAAAUCCUCUGGGCUAAUACCCCGGGGGGAUGACGGUACCGGAAGAAUAAGCACCGGCUAACUACGUG